Long non-coding RNA from Lynx canadensis (Canada lynx), 548 nucleotides. RefSeq lists it as uncharacterized. The transcript has 3 exons. Lineage: Eukaryota; Metazoa; Chordata; Mammalia; Carnivora; Felidae. The record is from RefSeq and is a predicted model, not a curated record.
AACUGAGACUGGAAAUGCUGACCUCACCUCCGCAUUCCUCAACCAUUUGUCAUCCGAUUGCAGAUCAACUGGUGAGAGGCCUGCCUCUAGUCUCCACUGUCACUUUGGUGGAGAAGAGUGGGAAUGGAAGAGUACAGUUGGCUAUAGCUAACUAGCUGAAAUAAUGAUCGCGGCUUCCCUUAGUAUCCAGUCUUCUCAGCUUUCUACGUAGCUGUCACUACUUCACCCUGGAACGUCAAGCCGAGAGUAUGAAUCUCGGAGUGCAUUUGGACAUACCAGCUCUGUGUCACUUUGCCGCGGUCAUGGAGACAUCUCUCCUGGAUCCCAGCACUGCUCCAACGUGGACUGGUUCAUCUUUGCUCUUGCGCACCUGUCUUCUUGGCAUCUUUCUUGAGCACCAUCCUGAACUUUCCCUUCAUUUUCUGUUGGAUCCCUGUUGCCUGGAUGCUGGAUCUUUCCCUCCCUCCCUCCCUCCUUCUCUCUCUCUCUCUCUCUCCUUUAUUCUCCUACUGGUUGGCAAAUACUCCCCUGGAAACUUAACUUGAAAU